RNAcentral lists this ribosomal RNA (618 nucleotides) under uncultured bacterium. RNAcentral describes it as "bacterial SSU rRNA". It matches the Rfam family "Bacterial small subunit ribosomal RNA", at positions 335 to 944 of the family's 1533-position model. The record is from RNAcentral.
ACUCCUACGGGAGGCAGCAGUGGGGAAUAUUGGACAAUGGGGGGAACCCUGAUCCAGCCAUGCCGCGUGUGUGAAGAAGGCCUUAUGGUUGUAAAGCACUUUAAGCGAGGAGGAGGCUCCUGUAGUUAAUACCUACAGUGAGUGGACGUUACUCGCAGAAUAAGCACCGGCUAACUCUGUGCCAGCAGCCGCGGUAAUACAGAGGGUGCGAGCGUUAAUCGGAUUUACUGGGCGUAAAGCGUGCGUAGGCGGCUUUUUAAGUCGGAUGUGAAAUCCCCGAGCUUAACUUGGGAAUUGCAUUCGAUACUGGGAAGCUAGAGUAUGGGAGAGGAUGGUAGAAUUCCAGGUGUAGCGGUGAAAUGCGUAGAGAUCUGGAGGAAUACCGAUGGCGAAGGCAGCCAUCUGGCCUAAUACUGACGCUGAGGUACGAAAGCAUGGGGAGCAAACAGGAUUAGAUACCCUGGUAGUCCAUGCCGUAAACGAUGUCUACUAGCCGUUGGGGCCUUUGAGGCUUUAGUGGCGCAGCUAACGCGAUAAGUAGACCGCCUGGGGAGUACGGUCGCAAGACUUAAACUCAAAUGAAUUGACGGGGGCCCCCACAAGCGGUGGAGCAUGUGG